GUGGGGAAUUUUGGACAAUGGGCGCAAGCCUGAUCCAGCAAUGCCGCGUGUGUGAAGAAGGCCUUCGGGUUGUAAAGCACUUUUGGCAGGAAAGAAAUAGCGCGUGCUAAUACCAUGCGCGAAUGACGGUACCUGCAGAAUAAGCACCGGCUAACUACGUGCCAGCAGCCGCGGUAAUACGUAGGGUGCAAGCGUUAAUCGGAAUUACUGGGCGUAAAGCGUGCGCAGGCGGUUUUGUAAGACAGACGUGAAAUCCCCGGGCUCAACCUGGGAAUGGCGUUUGUGACUGCAAAGCUGGAGUGCGGCAGAGGGGGAUGGAAUUCCGCGUGUAGCAGUGAAAUGCGUAGAUAUGCGGAGGAACACCGGUGGCGAAGGCGGCCACCUGGACAGGUACUGACGCUGAGGCGCGAAAGCGUGGGGAGCAAACAGGAUUAGAAACCCCGGUAGUCC
RNAcentral lists this ribosomal RNA (450 nucleotides) under uncultured bacterium. RNAcentral's name for it is "partial 16S ribosomal RNA". It matches the Rfam family "Bacterial small subunit ribosomal RNA", at positions 354 to 796 of the family's 1533-position model. The record is from RNAcentral.